RNAcentral lists this ribosomal RNA (696 nucleotides) under uncultured bacterium. RNAcentral describes it as "bacterial SSU rRNA". It matches the Rfam family "Bacterial small subunit ribosomal RNA", at positions 32 to 715 of the family's 1533-position model. The record is from RNAcentral.
AACGCUAGCUACAGGCUUAACACAUGCAAGUCGAGGGGAAACGACAUUGAAAGCUUGCUUUUGAUGGGCGUCGACCGGCGCACGGGUGAGUAACGCGUAUCCAACCUGCCCACCACUUGGGGAUAACCUUGCGAAAGUAAGACUAAUACCCAAUGAUAUCUCUAGAAGACAUCUGAAAGAGAUUAAAGAUUUAUCGGUGAUGGAUGGGGAUGCGUCUGAUUAGCUUGUUGGCGGGGUAACGGCCCACCAAGGCAACGAUCAGUAGGGGUUCUGAGAGGAAGGUCCCCCACAUUGGAACUGAGACACGGUCCAAACUCCUACGGGAGGCAGCAGUGAGGAAUAUUGGUCAAUGGACGAGAGUCUGAACCAGCCAAGUAGCGUGCAGGAAGACGGCCCUAUGGGUUGUAAACUGCUUUUAUAAGGGAAUAAAGUGAGUCUCGUGAGACUUUUUGCAUGUACCUUAUGAAUAAGGACCGGCUAAUUCCGUGCCAGCAGCCGCGGUAAUACGGAAGGUCCGGGCGUUAUCCGGAUUUAUUGGGUUUAAAGGGAGCGUAGGCCGGAGAUUAAGCGUGUUGUGAAAUGUAGACGCUCAACGUCUGCACUGCAGCGCGAACUGGUUUCCUUGAGUACGCACAAAGUGGGCGGAAUUCGUGGUGUAGCGGUGAAAUGCUUAGAUAUCACGAAGAACUCCGAUUG